UUAGAAUAGGUUACAUGAAAUGAGAGCUGUAAUUUAAAAUGUCUAUAUGAUUUGGGACUCAGAAUUAUGGAUCAUUCACACAUAAAAUACUCUCUGUCUUUCACAAGACCAUUUCCAAAACAAUAACAAACUUAUAUAUCAAAAUGUGACAGCAGUGUUAUUAGAUUCCUCGCGGUACUCCAAGUCGCUCGAUCCAACAUUGUUCUUCUAUUGCUAGGUUUCCUUCCAUUUCUAUUGACUAUAAGUUGCUUCACCAUCUGACAUUGACCAAUAAAUUUAGAAUCUAUAAAUUAAUGACAGUCCAAUAAAGAUAAUAUGUAGAUUUCUACUUCAAUAAUUCAAUCAAUAAUUCUUAUUUUUUCAUUGUGUUUUCCCCUCUCAUGUUGACCGAAGUUCAUGUCAUUCUGAAUAGAGAAUGAAAUACGUUUGCACCUUUAGGUUAGAGUUAAAUUUGUAUUCAGAGUUUGGACUUUUAGGUUACAAGUUGAAACACUUUGCAGUCUGUUCAGAGUUUGCACCUUUAGGUUAGAGUUUGAACACUUUGCAGUCUGUUCAGAGUUUGCACCUUUAAGUCUCAAUAUACCUGGCGAAUUGCCAAUACGAAGCUAAUGUGACCAGGGUUAAAAUGUAAAUAUGUUAAAAGAGUAUUUUAUAGAAUUUAAAUAGUUUCAUUGUUAUUGAUAUCUGUAUUAAUAUAGGGAGGUGACCAUUCUACAUUGAUCCAGUGCCUUUUUAUGGGAUUCGAAACUGUGACUGUGAGAUGUAUGAGAGUUUGACUUCUAGGCGGGCAAUUCUACUUUCACUUUAAACGGAUGGCAGGUGCCUGAGUGUAUCUCGACCCAUUUCCAGGCUAGCAUCAGAUGUCAUGAUGGACCUUUAAAAUCUUUCACAUGUGUGCUUUCAAGAACCAUAUACAUUAUUUUUGAAAAUUGGUUGCCAUGGUAAUAAAAUCUGAAAAUUAAAA
Long non-coding RNA from Ostrea edulis (European flat oyster), 964 nucleotides. RefSeq lists it as uncharacterized. NCBI's taxonomy places the organism in Eukaryota, Metazoa, Mollusca, Bivalvia, Ostreida, Ostreidae. The record is from RefSeq and is a predicted model, not a curated record. The transcript is spliced from 2 exons.